CGCCAAAAAGAGAAAUGCUAGUAUACAUGACAAACGUUGUACGCGAGUGAACGAACUCUGUUCAGGACGAAAAACUAUGGAAAACCACAAGUUAUUUUCAGUGAUAUUGUAAAAAAGUUGAUUAGAAAACAAAACUUUAGAGUCAUGCACAUCAGUAGAGCUUGCCAAGCAAUCGAUCAUCACUCAGAAUACGGACCCCGCUCUCUCCUAGCUCGCCGUACAGGAUAAAGUUAACUAUGGACUGAGUACCCGCACCUGCUCUCAAACCGGUGACAACAGUAACUAGGUAGAAAUAGUCAUCAUCUUUGCUAUUGUCACAUAGGAUGCCCAGCGUCCACUAAAAAGAAAUAAAACUAAAAGACAGUAAAGGACAAGGAUUGCUAUGAUUGUCCCAUAUACCGCUGCAUUGCCUAUGUCAAAGUUAAGGAAUGCUGCAUCGAAGUCAAUGCUGUUGACAGCCAGAAAUGACGAACCGUA
This is a long non-coding RNA of Saccostrea cuccullata (small rock oyster), 477 nucleotides long. RefSeq lists it as uncharacterized. The transcript is spliced from 3 exons. The record is from RefSeq and is a predicted model, not a curated record. NCBI's taxonomy places the organism in Eukaryota, Metazoa, Mollusca, Bivalvia, Ostreida, Ostreidae.